UCUAUCUUGCUCUCUGCCUCACAAGGACACCCUACAUAACUUAUAAUAAUGAAAUGAAAAGGAAAUGGGUUGACCGACUCACAGAACCAACUCUCUUCUUGGCAUUUAAGAGUGCUACAACAUAUUUCUCUUUCUAUCCUCUUCAAAGUGCUUAACAUUUUUAUUUUUUAUUUUCUGGAUUCUAGAGCCUUCUGGGAUACCAGAUCACUCCCAACAACUGUUACAGAGAAUUAUGAGAAGCUGAGCAAAUAUGCUGUAUAUAAUAAUUACAUGAGAACAACCAACUGGCAGUGCACACAGCGAAGUCCUCCCAAGCUACUAGGAUGAUCAGAGCUGGAGCAGCCAUCUUGCACCCAGAGAGCAAAGCCAAGCUGAGAUGGCAGAGCAACAAGACACAGGGUGCCCGGGUGCCCAGUGCCACAAAGCUGCUGUACCCAGCCUAUUCUCUUCAUGUUCAGACUGUUGGAAGAGAGAAAGAUAACUAUAAUUGGGACUGAGGGAUAGAAAUGUCUCCUACCAAAAUCGUGAAGUUCAUAAGUAGCACAAUUGAAAAGAAAGCCAACCUAGCUUCUAAAAUCUGCACCUGGAUCCUUUCUGCAUUGCCAACUGCCAACUGGCGAUUGAGAUGGUGACACUGACGGUCAAGAGGCUGUGGAAGAUGACAAGAAGAAGAAGGUGGGGUGCAGGGAAUGUGCAGGCUUCUGUUAGACCUUCCACCACCUUCUUGGGACUUGGGCUUUUAAAAUAAUGUAGAAGCUAAAAACAAACGGCAACUCAUGAGCGCCCUGAAGCAAAUUUCCAUUUCUUUAUGAUUCUACCCUACCCAGGUCACUUUGUGUUUGUAAAAAGCAUCAUGAUCACUUGCAAUACUGUCUGAUUAGAAGCUGAAUCUAUUUCCCUUUGCAAAUAUGAAGUUUCCCAUAUAUGAAAAUGUUAUAGAAAAUGACCUGUAA
Molecule: long non-coding RNA, 953 nt
Filed under: Callithrix jacchus (white-tufted-ear marmoset)
Lineage: Eukaryota; Metazoa; Chordata; Mammalia; Primates; Cebidae
Description: lncRNA (ENSCJAG00000072092.1)
Source: RNAcentral